This is a long non-coding RNA of Brachypodium distachyon (stiff brome), 751 nucleotides long. RefSeq lists it as uncharacterized. Lineage: Eukaryota; Viridiplantae; Streptophyta; Magnoliopsida; Poales; Poaceae. The record is from RefSeq and is a predicted model, not a curated record. The transcript has 2 exons.
GAGUCCUCACGGACGCAAUUUCUUUUUCCCUUCUCCCUUCUAAUUCUCACGCGACCCACGCAGACCAGUUUCUCCUCAGUCUCGAGCCAACGCUCACGCGACCCACGCGAGCUCCCGGCGGCGGCGGAGGUACUGCUCCUGCCCGUCUCCUCCUUCUCCAGCGGCCCCUUCACGCCCCGCCUCCCUCCCCUCUCACCCCUCUUCCUCGAUCUCCGCCGGUCACCUGCAGACCGUGGGCCUAGGCGGAGGCGACCCGGCGACUGGCUCAGGCGGCGGCAGUCUCCAGCAGCACGCGUGGGCAAGAACAGCAAGACGAUUGGCGAUUUCCACCCCGAUCUGCGAUUUCCCUUCAGAACUAGAGGUAAAAAUUGUUGGAUUACAUCAAAGCAUCGUGCUGCCUGAUUCUGGGCUGGGUGAUGCCAGUAUGGGGAGAACAGUGAAGGCAGUGAGCUGAUGGUGAUUCUGAUAUUUUAGAAAAGGGGAAAAGAUUUUUCAUGCUGAUGACGCUGUAUAGGAAUUUAGCUUACUUUAGGAGUUGCAACAGAGGAGCACACGGUUCAUCAUUGUAUUCUGUUUCAAAGGGUUAAUUUCUUCCUAGAGACUGUUUGGUCUUCUGUUGUGGUUCUUCUGUGUUGAUGCUCGUCGGCAGAGGAACAUAAUGUGGGUGGGAUCAUAGAGAUCUCCAAACCCUCCAUGACUCCAUCUGUAAUUUUAUUCUAUCUGAAUGCAAAGCUAUAUGUAUUACCUCAUA